Molecule: small nuclear RNA, 158 nt
Organism: Rana temporaria (common frog)
Lineage: Eukaryota; Metazoa; Chordata; Amphibia; Anura; Ranidae
Product: U1 spliceosomal RNA
Exons: 1
Source: RefSeq, a predicted model, not a curated record
AUACUAACCUGGCAGGGGAGAUACCAUGAUCACAAAGGUGGUUCUCUUAGGGCAAGGCUCAGCCAUUGCACUCCGGCUGUGCUGAAAAUGUAAAAUAAAAAAUGUGCGUGACCGGCAGGCCGCAAUGUCCGCCGGCCACCCGCGAUCGCCAGGGCCGC